AAAAAACUUACCUGCCUGGCUCCUGUGUUUUAAGAAACAAAACAAAACAAUAUGUGUGUUUUAUGUCAAUCAUAUAAAAAGAAAUGCAACAUUCAUUAAAAAAAAAACACACAACAACACUUAAACUUCUAUUGCAAUACAAGUAAACUUCCUCAACAUAUUAAAAGUCAUUAUGAAAACCUCCACAGCAAACAUCAUCCAUCUCUUGCAGCCCGGGGCCCACCUUCUGCUUGGCACAGCAGCUGGAGCUGGCCUCAGUUGCCCCCUCACGGCUCCACAAUGCCCUUCAGGUCACCAGUCCUUCGAAAAUCACUUCAUUUUUUAAUGCUAUCUACCUGUCCAGGUGGGCCUACAAGUUUGUGAACUCUGGAACAUACAAAAAUAAACCCUUGUUUUCUUUUGG
Molecule: long non-coding RNA, 403 nt
Organism: Eptesicus fuscus (big brown bat)
Lineage: Eukaryota; Metazoa; Chordata; Mammalia; Chiroptera; Vespertilionidae
Exons: 2
Source: RefSeq, a predicted model, not a curated record